GGGGCGAUAGCUCAGUGGUUAGAGCAUGGGACUCAUAAUCCCUUGGUCGUGGGUUCGAUCCCCACUCGCCCUA
RNAcentral lists this transfer RNA (73 nucleotides) under Acidimicrobiaceae bacterium. RNAcentral describes it as "tRNA-Met". It matches the Rfam family "tRNA". Rfam says of the family: Transfer RNA (tRNA) molecules are approximately 80 nucleotides in length. Their secondary structure includes four short double-helical elements and three loops (D, anti-codon, and T loops). Further hydrogen bonds mediate the characteristic L-shaped molecular structure. tRNAs have two regions of fundamental functional importance: the anti-codon, which is responsible for specific mRNA codon recognition, and the 3' end, to which the tRNAs corresponding amino acid is attached (by aminoacyl-tRNA synthetases). tRNAs cope with the degeneracy of the genetic code in two manners: having more than one tRNA (with a specific anti-codon) for a particular amino acid; and 'wobble' base-pairing, i.e. permitting non-standard base-pairing at the 3rd anti-codon position. Lineage: Bacteria; Bacillati; Actinomycetota; Acidimicrobiia; Acidimicrobiales; Acidimicrobiaceae. The record is from RNAcentral. RNAcentral also lists the same sequence under 1 other name.